Long non-coding RNA from Ipomoea nil (Japanese morning glory), 199 nucleotides. RefSeq lists it as uncharacterized. The transcript is spliced from 3 exons. NCBI's taxonomy places the organism in Eukaryota, Viridiplantae, Streptophyta, Magnoliopsida, Solanales, Convolvulaceae. The record is from RefSeq and is a predicted model, not a curated record.
GUUGUAGAAGCAAAGAUAGUUUCUGGUAACAAUUGCGGGACUAGGGUGUUGAUACCAAGGAUGUCGAUGACUCCGACUGAUAUAAGAUUGCCUUUCAAAUUUCAAAGAAGGCAAUUUCCGCUUAUGCUGUCAUAUGCAAUGACCAUUAAUAAAAGCCAAGGACAGACGCUAUCUCAUGUUGGACUAAUAUUGAAAAAAC